Molecule: long non-coding RNA, 261 nt
Filed under: Pan troglodytes (chimpanzee)
Lineage: Eukaryota; Metazoa; Chordata; Mammalia; Primates; Hominidae
Description: long non-coding RNA NONPTRT000571
Source: RNAcentral
UUUGGAAGCACAGAGAAGAGAAGCUCCCAAGAAAAACACACUCCUGUCGCAGCUUCAUUUUGAUUAUAGCACAGAUGUAAGAGCACCCAGUGAAUUCGUGGUCUCCAGAUGGGUUUUCUGGCAUCUCCAUAUCUCCCUGUGAUUAUUUGGGAGGGUUGAUGUUUGUGGGUUUGUGAUUUGUUUGUUUUUGGUCUUUCGUUUGCUCAGUGUCUGCCAAAUAGACACAUUUCCCCAGUUUUCACUAUUUAGGAGCACUUAAAC